This is a long non-coding RNA of Hyaena hyaena (striped hyena), 655 nucleotides long. RefSeq lists it as uncharacterized. The transcript is spliced from 4 exons. Lineage: Eukaryota; Metazoa; Chordata; Mammalia; Carnivora; Hyaenidae. The record is from RefSeq and is a predicted model, not a curated record.
GGAAGAUUCUGCGGUUAGCAAAUCAUUUUGAAAAGAUGUAGCCUGGUGGAUGCACGGUGCCAUGCUCUGUGGAAGAUGAAACGAUGUUUAAAAUCCGACACUCCCUCUUGUGGAGCUUACAUUAAUAUCAACAGCUAACAUUAAGCACCAUAUCAGGAAAUGUUCUUACAUGUAUUUACUUAUUUAGAAUUGAGAAGAAUUUUAUGAGGUAUGACCUCAUUUUUACAAAUGACAUAUCAAAGCUCCAAAGAUUACAUUAUAAGCCAGAGACACAGCUGGAAGAAGAGGGUCAGAUCCCUUGAUCCAAAGCCCGUCGUUCUACACAGCAAUCUGAAAGCUGAAGAUUUGUAACAAGUUCAAGAUCAGCUCUUAAACUCUUUGGGCCACCUGUCUCUAAGAAGUUGUCAGAAGUUAAGGAUCCUCCGUUCUGAAAAAUCUCCAGAAUGGAACUGUCAGAAUCCUUUCUUUUUGGACUAAAGGAAAAGAACACUUUGUGGUUUGAUCUUUAACAUGCAACUUAGUCACUGUGGGUAAAUCGUCUUCUUCCUCCAAUGUGACUGAGUGGGAGAGAAAUCUAAGAAGAAAGAAUGAAACAGACAUAUGAAGAGGAACACAGGACAUAGACAGAGAGCACUCCCAUGGUUUCUGCUGCCCU